CAUCAGCAAUAACUAUGAUGCACCAAUUAAUAGAAUAAUUUCGUCCCAUAGGUAUUUGGUCAUAAAUUAUCUGCAAGACAACAGCUAUAGGGCAACCAUUUAAUAAUAUCCGAAUGUGAAUCUUCCAUCAUAUACAGUUGUUGCCACCACUCCAUCCUUGCAAGGAGGUUACCAACAUACAAUUGUUGUUUUCAAUUCAGUUGGCACUCUAAAUUGCCUUAAAUGAAAAAUGCCAUGGUGGUUUCCACUUUUGCAACCUCAAUUACAGGAUAAAGGUAGAACCAGAUGCAAAUACAUGAAACAGAAACCAGUUUAUAAGGAUGAACUGUUGAGCAUAAGCAAGAAUACUCUGCCCCUUUAAUGGACUUCUUCCUCCAUGCAACCAUCUUUAGUACA
Telopea speciosissima is the source of this 396-nucleotide long non-coding RNA. RefSeq lists it as uncharacterized. The record is from RefSeq and is a predicted model, not a curated record. Lineage: Eukaryota; Viridiplantae; Streptophyta; Magnoliopsida; Proteales; Proteaceae. The transcript is spliced from 3 exons.